AUUUGGAGUUGUUCUGGCUAAUGUCAAAGACCACACACAAGGACAUGGACGUCAACGGUUCAUUCACAUGAGAUGACAGUUACCCAGGAUGAACCAACUGCAAAAAGCUGUCUGUGGAUGGUAACUGCAGGUGACCUGAAUGCAUGUGCCUCCUCCUUCUUUUUCCGCUUUUUGUCUUUUCCUUAAGCCUCUCUGAACAGUAUCUUCAGAAGUGUCUGUUUCCCACAGAGCAUGGUGUGUCCAAGAAAUACCCCACAUUCCCAUUGCCUUUGCUAUUUAAUGCUGUAGUUGGGAGAGGCAGUCUUGCUUUCUGCUUGCCUGUCUUUUUGGAGCACAUAUGAACUACAAAUAGAUACAGCCCACAUUUUGCCUCAAAGAUAUAUUCUUUGUUUUCUCCAAGUUGCCAAGUUGAACUCUAAGCUGAUGUUUAAUUUAUCUGUGGUAAUGAGGAACGGGGAUAGCCUUGCAUAAUUGGAAUCUGAAGAUAAGCCAAAAGCUUCUUUUAGCCAAAAUUCCUACAUCCUUUCCCACCAACUCUUUAUGCCUGUGUUGCUAACAAAUGGCAAAUUGACUAAUCUGAGUUUCACCAGUUCUUUGUGUGGUGUAUCUGACCUUUCACAAUGGGUUCAUACCAGAGUCCACUUCCAUGGUCCUUCAAGAUGUGGGUGUCUGGUUCUCAGGUAACCAACCAAAACCUUUGUACCUACCACUCAUGUAUAUUUCAGUUGAAGUUAGAAAAGCACCCCCUCAGUCUAUAGCUAACCUCUGGUGAAAUUGAGGAAUGAAUGAAUUGCUAAGCCAUCUAUAAAUAGAAUUCCGGGACAAUUCAUCUGAUGUGAGAGACAACCCUUUGAUAGGUUUCUGAGAAGAUGUGUGAAGCCACUACUCUCAAUUGUUCUUUCAUUUACUUUUUGCUAAUCAAAGCCCCAGACAUAUUCCAAAAUGUGAGAUGUUUUGGAAGAUUAACCAAAACACAAGCUGAAAUUUACCAGGGGCUCUGUAUAAAGUUAUACCCUUAGGCUUUUAUUCUCAAAGCCCUCCCAAGUACAGAAGUGUAGCAUGGGAUGAUGUGACAUAGAAUCGCAGAGUGGGAGGAGCCCACCAUACUUCAAUUCAGUGUAUCCAGAAGGAAAACUAAGGUUCACAGACUUGCUUAGGGGCUUAGUCAAGGGACUAUUUGUUCAGAACCAACAUUCAUACAAAGAGUCUUAAAUUUAAAAGGGGAUUUAUUUCAGAGAAACCUCAUGGAAACCAGUUGAAAGAGGGUUAGUGGGGACUUUCGGGAAGUGAAAAGUCGCUGGUUAAUUUCUCUGUUUCUAUCUCUGUGGGGCCUUGCAGAUUCUUUUCUUUGCUUCCGGGAGCCUUCUUCAUAUCUGCAGUGGAUAUGAGGUGAUAUGGUUUGGCUCUGUUCCCCACCCAAAUCUCAUCUCGAAUUGUAAUCCUACGAUCGCCACGUGUCAAGGGCAGAAACUGGUAGGAGGUGAUUGGAUCGUGGGGGCAGUGUGCUGUUCUCGUGAUAGUGAGUGAGUUCUCACGAGAUCUGAUGAUUUUAUAAAGGGCUCUUCCCCUUUCGCCAUUCACUCUGUCCUGCUGCCUUGUGAAGAAGGUGUCUGCUUCCUCUUCACCUUCUGCCAUGAUUGUCAGUUUCCUGAGGCCUUCCCAGCCAUGCUGAACUGUGAGUCAAUGAAACCUCUUUCCUUUAUAAAUUACCCAGUCUCGGGUAUUUCUUUAGAGCAGUGUGAGAAUGGACUAACACGAGGCUUCGCUGGUCUCUCAUGACCAACCCAAAAGGCAAGGUCAGCUUCCAUGUCUCAAUGGCCUUCCAGUGAGGCCCCUCACAGCUAACUGACCAGGGCAGGGGUCUCCUUGGUCCAGCUGAGAUCAGGGCCUGGCUCCGGCCCAUGCCUGUGGUAAGAGUGGGACUAUCCCUUGUGGAGCUGACAAGGGCUGACUCUCUGUAAGGGUGGCUAAGGCACUACUGGCCACUCUGGUGCCCCAGGAUGGCACAGGCAGGUCAGAACCUGGCUGUCACUCCAGGCCAGCCUUCUGCCACUGACUGGAAAGGUGGGCUCAAACACAACUGCAGUUAAAAGAGAGGAAUUGCCCCGGAGGUGAAUGCAGUCACCUGCAUAGGGGAAAAGGAGGUGAGAGGCCUGCUCUACUCCCCCUGAUCAGAUGCCAUCCAAGGGCACAUGGCUGACAUGUUUGAAGAAAAACCCAGAGUCAACUCAGAGCCCAACUCAGGCCUGAUAAAAAGUGACUAUGAUGAUGAAGAGAUUCAAAAUUAUGCUGCAGAAGGAAUGGCUGGAGGGUCUAGGCGUAUUUCACCUGGAAAGAGGAAGCUUUAAAGGAGAUGGUCACCAUCUGCUGGAGCGGCCAGUGGGGCUGCAGGUUACCCAUCAAAGCCCAAGCUAUGAAAUUGUCAUUGAGAGGAGUGCUUUAGACAUAGAGCUCAUUUGGUGGCAGAGAUCAGAAGCUUGUUCAAAGCAGCCUGGAAUUUUUAAAAGAAUAAGGGAAACAUGUAAAGGUAUGCAUUUUUAAGGUUUAAAGUGGUUUUGCAGAAACUCAAGAAAAGCUGAACAUCAGGAGUGAGGGGGGACAGAAGUUAAAGCCACAAGAGUUCACCAGUCUUUCUACUAGCGUGCUACUAUCCAUGUGACUCAGCUCUUAUCCUCAGGGCUGCUGCUUAUUCCCUCUCCUUGUGUCUCUUCACUCGAAACCCAGGAGAGGACUGUGAUUGCUAGCUAGUUGAUAGAUUGGCUGGUUGGAUCUCUUUUUUUUGAGACAGAGUCUCACUCUGUCACCAGGUUGGAGUGCAGUGGCACGAUCUCGGCUCACUGCAACCUCUGCCUCCCAGGUUCAAGUGAUUCUCCUGUCUCAGCCUCCCAAGUAGCUGGGACUACAGGCGCACGCCACCAUGCCCAGCUAACUUUUGUAUUUUUAGUAGAAAUGGGGUUUCACCAUGUGGCCAGGAUGGUCUCGAUCUCUUGACCUCAUGAUCUGCCUGCCUCGGCCUCCCAAACUGCUGGGAUUACAGGCGUGAGCCACCGCGCCUGGCCAGCUGGUUGGAUCUCUUACCCAUCCCCAGACUAAUAAACCCUAGGCUUCAGGGCCUGAUUAUCCAGGGCUGUACCUAGAGCAAGUUAAGCUAGAAAGAGAAAUUGGGCUUGGCAGAAACGUUGACCAAAUCCUUCAAUACUGAGGACAACCAAGAGUACUGAGUAACCCAGCAGGAUGUGCACCCAACCAGUCCAUACUAAUUUGGGGUCAUUCAUACCUUUGCAGUUUUAACUCCUUUUCUCUUCCUCCACUUGCUUUUCUCUUUAUAUCAACAAAAUCUUAUUGCUCCUUAUUGGUUCAAUCAUCCCAAAAUACAUCAGUAUAAUAUAUAUAAUUACUAAUAUACAGUUGUUAGUGAGUGAAUUAAUUAGAAUGAAUAAUCAAGGUUUGAUGUUCAAUGAGUUUGUAAUACCUAAACCAGAGUUUAGGUAGGUAUUAUAUACAUUAUUUACCUAAACUCUGGUAUUAUAUACAGGCUCUUGGGCUAGCAGGCAUACUGAUGUAUUCUGGGAUCAUUGAACAUCAAGCGUUGAUUAUUCAUUCUAAUUAAUGCACUCAUUAGUAAUUGUAACAAAUAAUUAUUAAGUGCUGAAUUAUGAGCAUAGCUCUCUUCUAGAAAAACGGAGGAAUAAUCUGUGGUUUAUGUCCUCAGGCAGCUUGCAGUCUAUCUGAGAAAACAAGACAUACCCUCAAGCAGAUAAUUGCCAUUUACAGUCAUUCCUAUGAUCUCAGCACUAUGUGGGUUUAAUCAGCCUUCUGCUAAAAGGAACCAGGUCCAAGACAUUCAGCAUGGCAUGGUAGCUAAGCAAGAUCCAGUGUCUUCAUUCAGCACUGACAGAGUCACUGUCUCUGAGCAGUACUUAGCUACAGAAACUUUGAAGCCUUCUGCAAUUUAUUAUGCUGAGUGCAUCUAAUCAACAUGUAGAAUAAAGAUGGAGCUCCAGAGAAGUUAGCACGCAAUCUGGGUGACAGGUGCUGAGCAAGGACAGCCUCUUCCCAAUACUCUCCAAGCGGCCUGCUGUUUCCAGGGAAUGAUAUUAUCAUUCUUGGCAUCUAGAACAGGACUCAAUGUAAGAUUGUCUAAGGCAGUCACUGGCUACAGUUCAUGGAAGCUUCAGGACGGCACUUGGCAUGAGCUCUCAGUGCUAUGGAAAAAAGAAGCUCUUAGGUGGAAUAUUUCUAGCUAAAAAAUGUAUAGUUUUUUUUGUUGUUGUUUCUGUUCCUUUCAUUUUUAUUUUUAGAAAUAGGAUUUCAAAGGGCAUUUGUCCUGGUCCCUCAGGAAAGAACAUUUUCUAAAGUGUUCCCAUCAACAAUGCCUCAGGUGUUACAGGUCCCUACUCUUGGCCAUCCAGCUCUGCCACCGUGCCUGGAUUCUGCAUUUUCAAAGGGACCAGCUUACCAGCAGCAUCCUCUUCCUGCUGCCUCUUGACUCACACAGAUCCCAUCAAUAAGCAUUCACUGAGGCCUGCUCUAAGUGAGGCUCUGGGGAGAGUGCUGUGGGAGCUUCAAGAGCAAUAGCAGCCCUGAGCUCCAGGAGCUUCCCCUCUGAGGUGGGGAAUUGCGAUGCAUGGAACAUCUCCAACACACAAAGCAGACUCUUGCUAGGCUUCGAACUGGAAUUGCAUUGAUCGUAUUAACUUGGGGGAGAUCUGAUAUAUUUAAAAGAAAAAAAUAAGCCGGGCAUGGCGGCUCACGUCUGUAAUCCCAGCACUUGGGGAGACUGAGGUAGGUGGAUCAUUUGAGGUCAGGAGUUUGAGACCAGCCUGGCCAACAUGGUGAGACCCCGUCUCUACUAAAAAUACAAAAAUUAGCCGGGCGUGGUGGGUGCCUGUAAGCCCAGCUACGUGGGAGGCUGAGGCAGGAGAAUCGCUUGAACUUGAGAGAUGGAGGCUGCAGUGAGCUGAGAUCAUGCCACUGCACUUCAGCCUGGGUGACAGAGUGAGACUCUGUCUCAAAAAAGAAAAAAAAAAAAAAAGAAAAAAAUAUAGGCGAUGGAACAGAAAAGUGGGCAGUGGCUAUGAAGAUGCAAUCCAAAUAUAAGGUAAUACUUAUCACCAAAGAAAUAGCAAUUAAGACAACAGUGAGACAGCAUCUUGUGUCUGUCAGAUUGGAGGAAAAAUACUAAAUUGAAUAAUGUGAAUUGUUGUUGAGGAUUGUGGAACUAGCCUUCCAUGAAACGUUUCUAGAAGUCUAAAUGAGUGUAGACACUCCAGAGAGCAAUCUGGCGGUAUUUAGCAAUCCCAUACCUGGGCAUAUAACUUGGACAAACUCUGAUUAUAACAGACUAGGCCCAAGGAUAUGUUUAUUGCAGUAUUAUUGGUGGUAGUGAUGAGUUGGAGGCAAUAUAAGUUUCUACCACAAGGAGGGUUGAUAUGAGCGUUUGAUGAAUAGUAUGCAGUAGUCAGAAUAAUAAAACAGAUGUACACUCAGCAUGGAGAAAUCUGAAUAAGAUACUGUUGGCUGAUGACAGUAAGACAUGGAUUGAGAUAUAUAGUAGAGUGUCAUUUAUAUAAAUUCAAAACACGUGCACAAGAUGAUCAUGUCUCUAGUAGCUACAAAAGUGCUUGAUACAGAGUAGGCCUUCAGUAAAUUGUUUUACUUGUUGUCAAUAAAAAUAUAUAUACUAAAUAAAUAUCUAACAUUUAUGUAAGUUAAGAAUACAUAGACAUAUACAUAUUUUAAGGGUAUAUACAAAUGCGAAACAUAAUUUAAGGGUACGGCUCUUCUGGAUAGUCCAGCGUUCAAAUGGAGUUCUCUGGAGUGAAGUAAAAUUAAUUCACAAACCUCUGUUGCAUCCAAGGUCAAAUACUCUCACGAACACCCACUCUCUGUUCCCUGGUUUAAUACUCACUGAGUAACAUUCUGAAGCCUGAGACUUUUAUACAUACCCAGUUUCCAGAAAAGGCACAAAGAAGCUUUCCCCAAAAGAAAAUACAUGAAUAUUCCAUUUAUUUAAAAACAUCCGAGCAGGUCUAAGCAAUAUAAAUUAAUAUAGCAGCAUCAGUGUCUUGUGAGUUAAGACGAGUGUCCUAAGAUUUAGUUGCUUAACUGAUUCCUCUAUGUCCCUAAAUCAAAUGAUGAAAUACAGAUUUAGGUUCCAUUUUUUUGAAAGAAUACUUCAUAGGUCAUUCUGUCUACUUCCUACUGCACCACAUUUAGGAGGGAGGCACAUCAUGUGUGGUUGUCUCUUUAGUAAUUCUGAGAUUGGUCAAGGGGUCCAGGUGGUGUCUGACCUUAUUCCAUCAUUACAAAAGAAGUCACCAUCUACUUUUUACCUAGUGGUUUCAGUAUCUUUGGAUAAUCACUGCCCGGAUUUAUCAAGGUUUGCAAAAUGAUUUUCUAAUUCUGUGGUUCCUUCUAUACACAUUAGCUGGGAUUCUUCAAAAUGUAACUUACAAAACAAACAAAAUCACUAUCAAGACUUGACAUUCCUUCUUCCAUAUCAAUUUUCAGAAUAGUGAUAAAAGUUACCAGUAAUGAUUUCUAGUGGAGACCAAUAUGUUUUUCUCAUCAUUAUAUACUUUUUUUUUUUUUUGAGACAGAGUCUUGCUCUGUCACCAGGCUAGAGUGCAGUGGUGUGAUCUCUGCUCACUGCAACUUCCGCAUCCUGGGUUCAAGCAAUUCUCCUGCCUCAGCCUCCCAAGUAGCUGGGACUACAGGUGCACACCACCACGCCCAGCUGAUUUUUGUAGUUUUAGUAGAGACAGGGUUUCACCAUAUUGGCCAGGAUGGUCUCGAUCUCUUGACCUCGUGACCUGCCCACCUCAGCCUCCCAAAGUGCUGGGAUUACAGGCAUGAGCCACUGCGCCCAGCCCAUAAAUUUUUAUAUAUUUGAUGAGGUUGAAUUAAUUGCCAUCAUUAUUCUCUUUUCUCUCUCUCUUUAGGAUCCUUAAACAGCUUAUAUUCAAUAAACUGCAUAUGUUUAAAUGGCACACUUUGUAAAGUUUGGUGAUACUGUACAGUCACAAAAGCAUAAUCAAUGUAGCAAACAUAUCUAUUGUAAUCUAAAAUGUCCUUGUGCCUUUUUUAACCUCCUGCUCCUCCUCCAUACUAUAUCCCCAGGCGACCUCUGAUUUACUUUAUGUUGGAAUUUUUGAGAAAUUCAUACAAAUGGCAUUAUUUAGUAUGUACUCUUUGUGUCUGACUGCUUUUACUCAGCAUAAUUAUUUUGAGAUUCAACAUGUUGUCUGUAUCAAUACCUUUAAUUGUCAAGUGGUAUGCUAUUGUAUGACUAUGUCACAAUUGUUUAGCCAUCGAUGAACAUUUGGGUCGUUUCCAGUUUGGGGUUACUACAAAUAAAGCUGCUAAGAACAUUUUUAUAUAAAUCUUUGUGCAGACAUAGAUUUUAUUUCUAUGGGAUAAAUACCUACUAGUGGAAAGGCUACAUCAGAUAGUAGGGUAUAUACUUAACUUUUCAAAAAAAACUGCAAAUGUGCUUUCCAUAGAAGUGCUAUUGCACAUUUCUCCUGAGCAUGAGAAUUUCAAUUCUUCCCCAUUCUCUCCAAUAUUUAGUAUGGUCAGACCUUAUAAUUUUAUCCAUUUUAAUAGGAGUAUAUUAUGGUUUGAAUGUGUCCCCUCCAAAAUUCAGGUGUUGACAUUUAAUGGCCAAUGUGAUAGUAUCAAGAGAUAGGACCUUUAAGAGGUGGUUAGGUCCUGAGGACUCCUCACUCAUGAAUGGGAUUAAGAGAUUUCGUGCAGCUUUUGACUCCCUUGCCCUUUCACCUUUCACCAUGUGAGGACACAGUGUUCCUCCCCUCCAGAGGACGCCACAACUGGGCGCCAUCUGGGAAGCAGAGGGCAGUCCUCAAUAGACAAAGGAACCUGCCAGCAUCUUGAUCUGGGACCUUGCAGCCUCCAGAAACUAUGAGAAAUACAUUUUUGUUCUUUGAUAAAUUACCCAGUCUUCUGUAUUUUGUUAUGGCAGCACAAAAAGAACUGUGACACUGUGUACAUGUACUUAAUCGUGGUUUUACAGCAGUCUCCCUUUCUCUGCUGUUUCACUUUUUUGUUGUUUGUUUGUUUUGAGAUGGAGUCUCGUUCUUGUCGCCCAGUCUGGAGUGCAAUGGCGUGAUCUCGGCUCACCGCAACCUGUCCUCCUGGGUUCAAGCAAUUCUUCUGCCUCAGCCUCCGAAGUAGCUAGGCUUACAGACACGUGCCACCACACCCUGCCAAUUUUUGUAUUUUUAGUAGACAGGCUGUUAGGCAGGCUGGUCUUGAACUCCUAACCUCAGGUGAUCCGCCCACCUUGGCCUCCCAAAGUGCUGGGAUUACAGGCAUGAGCCACCGCACCCAGCAUGCUGAUUCACUUUCUGCAGUUUCAGUUACCCACAGUCAACCAUGGGCCAGAACAUAGUUACACUGCCACAAGUUGUGGAUGGGAGGGCUGGAUUUCCUGAACCCUUCCCAGCAUUGCUCGAGUUUCUUGGUUCCUCCGCUAGAGAAGAGGAGCCCCAGAGCUCUGUAGGCUCCAGAUGAAGUGACCACUUCUUAGCACCUCCACAAUUGACACCUCGUCUGUCACCACCUCUCUGCCUGGGUGACUACAGUGGUGGCCCCCUCCCUGCCCUCCAAGUGCCCACGCUUGCCCCUACAGUCUGUUCCCAACACAGCAGCCAGAGAGACCAUCUUGCAAUAAAAGUGCCCAAAUCAUAAGCAGACAUCUCAUUGGAUUUACUGAGCACACCCAGGUAUCCACCACCCAAGGGAAGCAACGAAGGUGACCCCACCCAGCAUUUACCCUGUGUCCCUAUCUUGGACAUUGAUUCUGCUCCAGAGGUCACAAUCUCAUGCCGCCAAUUGCCAUAGAUUCGUUUUGCUUGGUCUUAAACUUUAUAUAAAUGAAAAUUCAACUUUAUGCUGUCUACAAGAGGCAUACUAACUCAUAAAAAUUAAAAGACUGACCCAGAAAACACAGCAAAAAGAAAAAUAUCACGAAAUGAUUGUCAGUCCAAUUAAAAUUCAAGACUGGAAGAAUUCAUGGGUCAGAGAAGGCAGGCUAGGCUGGCCCACUUUAGCCUAAAUCCCGGGAUCCAGCAAGCAUUCAUCUCACAUAGCUCGGGUUUUACUGAGUUGGUUCCUCUGCCUGCUUCUCUGACUUGUUUACCCGUGGAGUACACGAGAACUACAACCCCCAGCAUGCACUGCGCAUCUCUUUCUUCCAUUCACACAUCUGCUUUCUCUUCCAGAACAGCUGGUACAAGUGGAUCUGCUCGGCACCUAUAACCUAAUUACCUCUCAGGCUCACACAAGUCUCUGGCCGCUAAGCGAAUGAUCUCCCAAAGGGAUUAUUCUCAAGCAGCACAGAAACUGUCCCUAUGCCUCAGGUGGCCCCAGAACUCUUUCGUACUAGAGACUUAUCUGUUAAUAAAGUUAACAAAGGAAAGUGGCCUUCCAAGAAUGUUUGUUUGGGCCACUACCUGGAAGAAAUAACACUUGACCAUGAGAGACUUGGCUGAGCAGUGCUGGGUCAGCUUAACCAAAGAAGACCAGCCAUCACCCACGGCAAGAGCAGCUCUGACUUGGACCCACUGUUCCCCCAGCCUGUUAGCAGCCUGUGAACAAUCUUUAAGUGACCCCUGGCCCUGUCACAUCUCCAUUCAACAGGGUUCUUGGGGAGGAUGUGUGGACCGAGAACAGUGCCCACCCACACCACCUGUAAGUGUGGCCACGGCAGCCAGCCAGCAUGGAUGCUAAGUAACAAGUGGUAUUGGGGCACAGAUGUGGCGGGAGCGCUUUGGGGCAAAGAAAGAGGUGCUGUGAGUGAGGACAGAAAGGAAGGGGAAAAAAAAGCCUCAUGGGUUAGAGCGCCUCUCACCUUUGGCUCUUCUUCAGAAGACUGGUAAAAGAAAACAAGAAGAGAAAUUGGUUUCCCUGACUUCUCUAAAGCAAGCGUUCUUCAGAAAAGAGAAUCGAUCAGCCUGGUUAAAGUGGAUAAACUAUGUGAUGUCCAUCCAGAGAGGUGUCUAUUAAUGGCUGUAAAAUGGAAAGAUGAAUCAAUGGGACCGAUUAAUAUUUAUGAAGAGUUGAACUAGGCAGAGUGAAAAAGCCUUGUAUAUUGGAUAAGAAAGGAAAAGCAUUGCACACCAUAGGAUGCGUUUGUUUGGCUAAGGUUUCUGUUUUGAUCACUGGGUAAUUGUAUAGAGCAGGGGCGUAUGGUAGAGAAAGAAAAUCUAUAUCUAGAAGUUAUUGACUUUAUGUACAAAAGCACUGGUUGGUGCCUAUUUUUGAGGACCACUCCAUCUUAAAAAUAACUUUGGUUUUGUACGGCCUAGUUGUGGUGGAAAAGGAGCUCCAAAGAGUAAGCAAGUUUCCUACAAAAAGAAUCCAAGCUGUUGAAACUACAAUUAAGAAAUGCAAAGAGUUACUAAUUUUACUACUUAGAGGAAAGGAAAUUCACAAGCAGGAAAGAAACUGUGGAUCAGGGCAAGUUGUAACUCUAGAGGUUCAGAGAUAGGAGCUCUAAUUACACCAGGGCAAGGGAGUACUGUUUGGGGAAAUUUCUGAAACAUGAAAUAGGAAAGCUGAGGGUCAAAAUGAUAUUGUGAUGUGAAUAAAUAGAGAAGACAUGUUUGCAUGGAGCUCAGCUGGGUAAUCAUGGAAAGAAGGAGGGGCGAAGGAGGAAACUGAAAAUCGAAAUAAAGAACAGAAGCACAGACCAUGAAAUAUGCCAAAUAUAGUGUGCAAAUACUCAGAAGGCAUGGAAAGAUAAGUUAGAAGCCAAAACUCAGUUAUCACUAUCGUGUGAAGGAACAAUAAAACUCUUAGCAAAAACAAAUGACUUAGCAUGAGACCAAUACUGCUUUCCUUAGGUAGCUUGGUCCAGAGGGAAAAGGCUGAUAUCACUCCCUAUCAAGGGUUUUUAGACGGUUUAAGUGAGCUCUGCAAGUGGGAGACACGGUGAUGAUUAUUGACAGUUGCUAUCUUUCAAGGGGGAGAAGCAAACUGAUGUUACACAUUAGAAUUAGUUAGCACCACCGAACACAGGUUACAAAAAUACUGGGAGGAAUUCUCUCUCCUGAGCACAUUACGCAAUAUUUGCAAAUGUGUGCAGGUAAGUGUUGACUCUCUCAUCAUGCUGGACCUGGAAAUGGUUCUCAGCAAAUCAUGGCAUGAUUUCUUUUUCAAAGUUGGGUACACGAAUAUUAUCGUAACCAGCUAAGAGCAGGGAGACGUGGCAUGGGAGACUAACAGAUAGUGCAGCUUUUAAGAGAAGACGUAGAAAUCAAUCUAGUAACAAAUAUUUAUUAAGCAUUGGAGUGUGCUAGGCACCAAGAGAAAAGAAACCUCCACAGCUGAUAAAGCCUUUCAAAAUAAUGUCCUCAGUUAAUUUGCACAUUUCCAUGAGGUAGGUGUUGUUAGCCAUUUCCGUUAAUGAGAAAAAAAAAAAUGAGAUUCAGAAAGGUUAAUUAAAUUGGAGAUCUCCUGAUUUUUUAGUUUUAUAUCCUUCCCGUGUCCUUUCCAGGCUUAUAUUCUGGUCCUAUCACUUCUCAGCUGAGUUACUUCAACAAGUUAUUUAUUCUCUGUGUUCCCAGCUGUCAAAAUGAAAAUGCCAGUACCCACCUGGUAAGGAGUGAGAGAACAUUUAUAAAAAUGCUCGGCUGGGUACCUGACACAUAGGAGGUCCUCAGUAAAUUUGUUUUCUCCCUUUCUUCCUGAAGUACGGUGGCAGAGGGAUUCAGCCAGCCAGCCUGGGUAGCACAAGCCAUGAUGCCCUGCUGAAUCUGUGUUCUAGGGUCGGACAGGGGGAGUCCUUUUGCCUAGAGGGAUGGUGUGCGAGGCCUAAGAGGACUUGGGCAGAGUCUUGAAGGACGAGCAGGAUUUGCUGUGGUGGAGAGGUGGUCACGGGUUGAGCAGAUAGGAGAACCAAGGAAUCAAGGCAGGGAAAGAGAGGGGAUGCAUGUGAAGGGCCAGGAGCUGUUAACUAGUUUGCUAAGCAGCAGGCGAGGAUUUAGAAGGAGUUGGAGAAGUGUGGAGGGAGCUGAGGCUCUUGUGAGGGGAACUUUUAUGCUAAGGGUUCCAACUUGGCCCUGUGAAUGAAGGUGAGCUGGGGAAGGUUUGUGAACUUGGAGUCUCACCUGUAAAAGAUUAAUCUGGUGCCAGUGUACAGAAUGGACCGUCAAGGAAGAGGUGGAAAAACAAGGAAAAUUUGUAUUUUAUAGACACACACACACAUAGACACAGAGCCCUUUUUAUUAGAAAACAUAUAAUCAACUUAACCCCAUUUUAAAUGGCUUGGACAUUAAUUUUACUCUUGUAAUUGAUUAUAGAGGUUUAAAACUGUUGUGUUUUUGCCUUUGUGACAUAUUAUGGCUGUAUCUAAAAUUUAUUUGAUGUUAAAUCAAGAACAAAACUCUUCAAUUCUAUUGUUGUUCCUAAGGUAAAAUAUAAUCUACUUUGAGUCAAUUCACUGUGUCAUAAACUUUCCAGGAAUGGGAAACUUGAUAAAAAGCAGAGACUCACUGCAUAUGACAAUAAUUAAAUCUAUAUUCAACAAGUAUAAAAGAAUGGUUGUAGGGGUGAGCAAUUUGGAAGAAAAAAAGCCACUUGACUUAAAUAUGACAGAAAAUCAUACUGAGGUCUGACACCCCAUGACCUUUUUUGAGAUUUGAGGUUAUGCCAUGUAUUUGAGAAUAAAUAAAAUCCAUUUAAGUGUCUAUAUUAUUAAAUGAAUCGUAUUUUCAGAAAGCAUUAGAUAAAGUCUGUUUUAGACCUUGGAAUCCAUUUUUCUCAUGAACACAAUAUCGUAAAUAGAUGAGAAUUGAGUUCCCAGUCUAUAAAACCCUUAUUAAAUCAUCAUGUAGCUGAACUAUUCUAUAUUGGCAAUCAAUAGAGUUGAGUAAUCUUUUCAUAGUCACAGUGAUAAAAAAACAAAAAAUAUUGAAGAAGUAAUUUUUCAAAAAAUAGAGGUAUAGCACGUUUAAUUAUGGAUUAAGAGGCCGAUAAAUAAUUUUGUGGUGAUUCUGAAGAGACUAUCUGGGCACUUUCAAAAGCUUUAGAGUUGAUAAACUGUUCUUAUUAUGUCUAAUUUAAUAUUCAAAAUUUAUGACCAUUCAUUCAUUCAUCAAACAUAACUUAGAUAUCUACAAUAGGUAUUGUGCUAGCCGCUGGAGAUUUCAAUGUAAUGAAACAGUUCCUAACUUAAAGAAAAGCAGCACUUGAAAUUUUACUAAUGCAUUCAGUCAUUUACUUAACAGAUACUGAAUGUUUGCUACCGUGAGUCUAUUAUUCCUAUGCGUAUCAACUCCCAGGAAGCAUGUGUAGCUCGCUGAUGGAAUACAGAGAAAUAUUCCUGAGAGAAUACCAAAAAUAGUCCGUUUGUGCUACUAAAACAAAAUGGCUGAGACCGAGUAGCUAGCUUAUAAAGAACAGAAAGCUAUUUUCUCACAGUUCUGGAGGCUGGGAAGUCCAAGAUAAAAGCACCAACGGGUUUGGUUGUCUGGCAAAGGCUUCUCUCUGUUUCCAAGAUGGUGCCUUGUUGCUGUGUCCUCCAGAGGGAAGGAAUGCUGUGUCUUCACAUGGCAGAAGGCUGAAGGGCAAGUGAGCUAACACUGUGUGAAGCUUAUUUUAUAAGGACCUUAAUCCCAUUCAAGAGGGAG
This 13655-nucleotide long non-coding RNA is filed under the name Homo sapiens (human). RNAcentral describes it as "HSALNT0024232". Lineage: Eukaryota; Metazoa; Chordata; Mammalia; Primates; Hominidae. The record is from RNAcentral.